RNAcentral lists this ribosomal RNA (411 nucleotides) under uncultured bacterium. Its description in RNAcentral is "bacterial SSU rRNA". It matches the Rfam family "Bacterial small subunit ribosomal RNA", at positions 355 to 783 of the family's 1533-position model. The record is from RNAcentral.
UCGGGAAUUUUGGGCAAUGGGGGAAGCCCUGACCCAGCAACGCCGCGUGAAGGAUGAAGUAUUUCGGUAUGUAAACUUCGAAAGAAUAGGAAGAAUAAAUGACGGUACUAUUUAUAAGGUCCGGCUAACUACGUGCCAGCAGCCGCGGUAAUACGUAGGGACCAAGCGUUGUUCGGAUUUACUGGGCGUAAAGGGCGCGUAGGCGGCAUGACAAGUCACUUGUGAAAUCUCUGGGCUUAACCCAGAACGGCCAAGUGAUACUGUCGCGCUAGAGUGCAGAAGGGGCAAUCGGAAUUCUUGGUGUAGCGGUGAAAUGCGUAGAUAUCAAGAGGAACACCUGAGGUGAAGACGGGUUGCUGGGCUGACACUGACGCUGAGGCGCGAAAGCCAGGGGAGCAAACGGGAUUAGAU